CUCAUUGCCAUCACAUACCGUAAACUCAUUUCUCCUCUACCAUUUCUCUGUCCUCCACCCAAAACCCAUUUCACCACAAUUAUCCACCCCUUCCCCCAACACAACCAUCACAUUGUGACAUCCAAGGCACAGCGUCGCCUUACAUAGCUAUAGCACUACGCCUCUGCGCGCGAAGGCAUAACUUUGAAGCUACACAAGGCAGUGCUUCUACAGGUUCUUUGGACAGAAUGGAAUACCGCGGAGGUUAAGAGUAGGUUCAACGUCGCAGAUCGCAUCUAUUCAUAACGAAUCAUUGUUGCCGCCUCACACUCCUUGUACAGCAUCUGAGAUUUGAAACCAGGAUUAGGACCAUGAUUUCAAAUAUGAACAAUAAUUGGUCCAAAGUCGACGCUCAGUUUGCGUCGCUGCAGCUAGGUCACUGUCGAGAAUGAAAUGGUCGGUGGUAGUGGGAUGUUGGGGCUGUGUCUCUUUCUGUGUUGUGGUGGUGGAUCUAUGUUGAUGAUGGUUGCGUUAUUAGGCUAUGUUGGAGGUAGUGGUCACAAGUGGCUUUCUUGUUGCAGCGAUAGUGUUGGUGGUGGUGGUAAUGUGACCGACUAUUUAGUUAUUUCUGAUCAACUAUUUAAUUGUAAUCUAAAAAUUUGAUAAUUUGCGAUUGAAAAAU
This 661-nucleotide long non-coding RNA is filed under the name Olea europaea subsp. europaea. Lineage: Eukaryota; Viridiplantae; Streptophyta; Magnoliopsida; Lamiales; Oleaceae. The record is from RNAcentral.